This 637-nucleotide ribosomal RNA is filed under the name uncultured bacterium. RNAcentral describes it as "bacterial SSU rRNA". It matches the Rfam family "Bacterial small subunit ribosomal RNA", at positions 67 to 719 of the family's 1533-position model. The record is from RNAcentral.
CGGGAUGAUGGAGCUUGCUCCAUCAUCUAGUGGCGGACGGGUGAGUAACACGUGAGCAACCUGCCGAGAAGUGGGGGAUAACGUCUGGAAACGGACGCUAAUACCGCAUAACAUCACGGGGAGACAUCUCCCUGUGAUCAAAGGAGCAAUCCGCUUUUUGAUGGGCUCGCGCCCGAUUAGAUAGUUGGUGAGGUAAUGGCUCACCAAGUCUGCGAUCGGUAGCCGGACUGAGAGGUUGAUCGGCCACAUUGGGACUGAGACACGGCCCAGACUCCUACGGGAGGCAGCAGUGGGGAAUAUUGCACAAUGGGGGAAACCCUGAUGCAGCGACGCCGCGUGAGUGAAGACGGUCUUCGGAUUGUAAAGCUCUGUCGAGGGGGACGAUAAUGACGGUACCCCUCAAGAAAGCCACGGCUAACUACGUGCCAGCAGCCGCGGUAAUACGUAGGUGGCGAGCGUUGUCCGGAAUUACUGGGUGUAAAGGGAGCGCAGGCGGGGAGCCAAGUUGGAUGUGAAAUACCGCAGCUCAACUGCGGGGCUGCAUCCAAAACUGGUUCUCUUGAGUGAAGUAGAGGUAGGCGGAAUUCCUAGUGUAGCGGUGAAAUGCGUAGAUAUUAGGAGGAACACCAGUGGCGAA